AGAGUUUGAUCAUGGCUCAGGACGAACGCUGGCGGCGCGCUUAAUACAUGCAAGUCGAGCGAGAACCAGGGCUUCGGCCCUGGGGACAGCGGCGAACGGGUGAGUAACACGUGGGUAACCUGCCUGUAAGACUGGGAUAACUUCGGGAAACCGGAGCUAAUACCGGAUAGUUUCUUUUCUCGCAUGAGAAGAGAUGGAAAGAUGGUGUAAGCUAUCACUUACAGAUGGACCCGCGGCGCAUUAGCUAGUUGGUGAGGUAAUGGCUCACCAAGGCGACGAUGCGUAGCCGACCUGAGAGGGUGAUCGGCCACACUGGGACUGAGACACGGCCCAGACUCCUACGGGAGGCAGCAGUAGGGAAUCUUCCGCAAUGGACGAAAGUCUGACGGAGCAACGCCGCGUGAGCGAAGAAGGCCUUCGGGUCGUAAAGCUCUGUUGUUAGGGAAGAACAAGUACGAGAGUAACUGCUCGUACCUUGACGGUACCUAACCAGAAAGCCACGGCUAACUACGUGCCAGCAGCCGCGGUAAUACGUAGGUGGCAAGCGUUGUCCGGAAUUAUUGGGCGUAAAGCGCGCGCAGGUGGUUUCUUAAGUCUGAUGUGAAAGCCCACGGCUCAACCGUGGAGGGUCAUUGGAAACUGGGGAACUUGAGUGCAGAAGAGGAAAGUGGAAUUCCAAGUGUAGCGGUGAAAUGCGUAGAGAUUUGGAGGAACACCAGUGGCGAAGGCGACUUUCCGGUCUGUAACUGACACUGAGGCGCGAAAGCGUGGGGAGCAAACAGGAUUAGAUACCCUAGUAGUCC
RNAcentral lists this ribosomal RNA (803 nucleotides) under uncultured bacterium. RNAcentral describes it as "bacterial SSU rRNA". It matches the Rfam family "Bacterial small subunit ribosomal RNA", at positions 8 to 796 of the family's 1533-position model. The record is from RNAcentral.